GAUGAACGCUGGCGGCGUGCCUAAUACAUGCAAGUCGAGCGAACAGACGAGGAGCUUGCUGCUCUCACGUUAGCCGCGCACGGGUGAGUAACACGUGUAUACCCUCCCUAUAAUACUGGUAUCACUUCGGGAAACCGGAGCUAAUCCCGUAUAAUAUCUUGAACCGCGUGGGUGAAUGGUGAAAUACGGUGUUGCUGUCACUUAUCGAUGGAUCCGCGCUGCAUUAGCUGGUUGGUAAGUUAACAGCUUAUCAAGGCAACGAUGCGUAACCGACGUGUGAGAGUGAUCGGCCACACUGGAACUGAGACAGGGUCAUGACUCCUACGGGAGGCAGCAGUAGGGAAUCUGCCGCAAUGGGCGAAAGCCUGACGGAGCAGCGCCGCGUGAGUGAUGAAGGUCUUCGGAUCGUGAAACUCUGUUAUGAGGGAAGAACAGAUGUGUAAGUAGCUGUGCACUUAGUGACGGUACCUAGUCAGAAAGCAACGGCUAACUACGUG
This 497-nucleotide ribosomal RNA is filed under the name uncultured bacterium. Its description in RNAcentral is "partial 16S ribosomal RNA". It matches the Rfam family "Bacterial small subunit ribosomal RNA", at positions 28 to 507 of the family's 1533-position model. The record is from RNAcentral.